Molecule: unclassified non-coding RNA, 354 nt
Filed under: soil metagenome
Description: partial contains 5.8S ribosomal RNA, internal transcribed spacer 2, and large subunit ribosomal RNA
Rfam family: 5.8S ribosomal RNA (bases 1-120)
Source: RNAcentral
GAUGAAGAACGCAGCGAAAUGCGAUAAGUAAUGUGAAUUGCAGAAUUUAGUGAAUCAUCGAAUGUUUGAACGCACAUUGCGCCCCCUGGUAUUCCGGGGGGCAUGCCUGUCCGAGCGUCAUUUCUGCCCUCCAGCCCGGCUGGGUGUUGGGCGCUGUCCCCCCGGGGACACGCCCCAAAGGCAGUGGCGGCGCCGCGUCGGGUCCUCGAGCGUAUGGGGCUUUGUCACCCGCUCGGGACGGACUCGUCGGCGCUGGUCUUCCUCCAGGCGACCCUUCGGGGCUCGUCUUCCUUCGAUUGACCUCGGAUCAGGUAGGGUUACCCGCUGAACUUAAGCAUAUCAAUAAGCGGAGGA